This 959-nucleotide non-coding RNA is filed under the name Priacanthus arenatus (Atlantic bigeye). RNAcentral describes it as "12S ribosomal RNA". It matches the Rfam family "Bacterial small subunit ribosomal RNA". The record is from RNAcentral. Lineage: Eukaryota; Metazoa; Chordata; Actinopteri; Priacanthiformes; Priacanthidae.
CAAAGGUUUGGUCCCAACUUUGUUAUCAGCUCUAUGCUAAGCUUACACAUGCGAGUAUCCGCACCCCGGUGAGAAUGCCCCACAGUCACCCUUUCGGAGACAAGGAGCUGGUAUCAGGCACACACUAAAUGUAGCCCACGACACCUUGUUUAGCCACACCCCCAAGGGGUCCCAGCAGUGACAAACAUUAGGCCAUAAGCGAAAGCUUGACCUAGUGAAAGCUAAGAGGGCCGGUAAAAACUCGUGCCAGCCACCGCGGUUAGACGGGAAUGGCCCAAGUUGAUAGCCAGCGGCGUAAAGAGUGGUUAAGACGAACGAAUACUAAAGCCGAACACCUCCCAGGCUGUAAUACGCCCCCGGAGGGAAUGAAGCCCAUCCGCGAAAGUAGCUUUACAACAUCUGAUUCCACGAAAGCUAGGGCACAAACUGGGAUUAGAUACCCCACUAUGCCUAGCCACAAACAUUGACAGUUUUAUACACCUACUGUCCGCCCGGGUACUACGAGCGCUAGCUUAAAACCCAAAGGACUUGGCGGUGCUUUAGACCCCCCUAGAGGAGCCUGUUCUAGAACCGAUUAUCCCCGUUCAACCUCACCCCUCCUUGUUCCUAUCCCGCCUAUAUACCACCGUCGUAAGCUUACCCUGUGAGGGUCCGCUAGUGAGCAAAACUGGUCUGUUCCCAAAACGUCAGGUCGAGGUGUAGCGAAUGGAGGGGAAAGAAAUGGGCUACAUUCCCUAAAUCAGGGAACUACGAAUGAUGUACUGAAACACACAUCUGAAGGAGGAUUUAGCAGUAAGCAGAAAAUAGAGCGUUCAGCUGAAGCCGGCCCUGAAGCGUGCACACACCGCCCGUCACUCUCUCCAAACUUCUUCAACCUAGUAACUUAAAACGAAACUAUUCGUGAAGGGGAGGCAAGUCGUAACAUGGUAAGUGUACCGGAAGGUGCACUUGGAAGAAGA